Molecule: ribosomal RNA, 465 nt
Filed under: Vreelandella stevensii
Lineage: Bacteria; Pseudomonadati; Pseudomonadota; Gammaproteobacteria; Oceanospirillales; Halomonadaceae
Description: partial 16S ribosomal RNA
Rfam family: Bacterial small subunit ribosomal RNA
Source: RNAcentral
CCUACGGGUGGCUGCAGUGGGGAAUAUUGGACAAUGGGCGAAAGCCUGAUCCAGCCAUGCCGCGUGUGUGAAGAAGGCCUUCGGGUUGUAAAGCACUUUCAGUGGGGAAGAAAGCCUUGGGGCUAAUACCCUCGAGGAAGGACAUCACCCACAGAAGAAGCACCGGCUAACUCCGUGCCAGCAGCCGCGGUAAUACGGAGGGUGCGAGCGUUAAUCGGAAUUACUGGGCGUAAAGCGCGCGUAGGCGGUCUGAUAAGCCGGUUGUGAAAGCCCCGGGCUCAACCUGGGAACGGCAUCCGGAACUGUCAGGCUAGAGUGCAGGAGAGGAAGGUAGAAUUCCCGGUGUAGCGGUGAAAUGCGUAGAGAUUGGGAGGAAUACCAGUGGCGAAGGCGGCCUUCUGGACUGACACUGACGCUGAGGUGCGAAAGCGUGGGUAGCAAACAGGAUUAGAUACCCCAGUAGUC